Molecule: long non-coding RNA, 1555 nt
Organism: Pan troglodytes (chimpanzee)
Lineage: Eukaryota; Metazoa; Chordata; Mammalia; Primates; Hominidae
Exons: 3
Source: RefSeq, a predicted model, not a curated record
AGAACAUAUAUUGUAUAAUUCCAAUUCUUUCAAAUUUGUUAAAGUUUAUUUUAUGACAUGGAAUAUGGUCCAUCUUGGUAAAUGUUCUAUGUGUACUUGAAAAGAAUUCUGCCAUUGUUGGGUGGAAUAUUCCAAAAUUUUCAGUUAGAUACAGUUGGCUGAUGGUGUUCAGUUCUCACAAUCUUGCAGAUUUUCUAUGUACUAGUUCUAUUCAUUACUGAGCAAGGAGUAUGAAAUCUCGAACUCUAACUGUAAUUUAUGUGUUUCUCCUUUCAGUUCUAUUAGCUUUUCUUCAUGUUCGAAGCUCUGUUGUUAGGCACACACACAUUUAAGAUUGUUCUGUCUUCUUGGUGAAAUGAUCAUUGUAUCAUUAUAGAAUGCCCUUCUUUAUACCUGACUUGUGAGAUCCUAAACAAAGAACCUACUAAGUUCUGCCCAGAUUUCUCACUUACAGAACAGUAAGAUAACAGACUUGUAUGGUUUUCAGCUGCUAACUUUGUGGUAAUUUGUUAUGCAGCAGUCGAAAAUUAAUACGGGUGCCUUUCCACAUUAAAUCAGUGCUGGCCUAUGUGAUCAGUACAUUAUGGAGGAAGCAACAAUGUGUGACUUUGUUUCUGUGUGUGUGUGUGUGUGUGUGUGUGUGCGCACGCGUGUAUAUUUGUAGAGAUGGGGUCUCCCUUUGUUGCCCAGGCUGGUCUUGAACUCCUGGCCUCAAGCAAUCCUCCCAACUCUGUGACUUUGACGACUACAUCACACAAGCGUCAUGGCAGCCUUGUGAAGAGGCUGACUUGGAAAAAAAAAAAAGAAAUGCUUCUGCCAACGUCCAACAACAUCUUCCAGCCAUAUGAAUGAGCCACCUUGGAAGGGGAUCCUCCAGCUCCAAAUAAGUCUUCAGAUGUGUGUAACCCCAGCCAAUAUCCAACUGAAACUUCAUGAGAGACCUUUGGCCAGAACUACCUAGCCAAGCAACUCCUGAAAUCCUGAUCACAGAAACAAGAAUAGAGCAAGAGUUGAUGAGUCUUGCAAUGAGAGAAUUGAUGAAAUACUUAAGGAAGAACUUCUUAACGGAAGGGCAAUUAAACACAAAUGGCUUUGCAUGGGAGGAUAUGGAAAUCUUGCUCCUUUGUGAUCUUUGAAAAGAGGCAGCAGCUGUUGUGAGCAACUUAAGACUCACAGAGUGCUAUCCUGGAGGAGGAGGAGGAUGAACCACAUCCUGGGAAUAACUCUCUAUACACUUUAACAUAUUUUCCUGGUGGUCCUUAUGCACACUACAGUUUGAGAAUCACGGUUAUUGAGAAAUAAAAGGUUUUCUUUCUCUGCCUAGGCUUAGGCCUUUAAUGACCUAUUUAGUCUUACAUGUGGUGAUGGAGACCUCUGCCUAAGCUUAUUUUCUACAGGGAUGGUACACAUGCUAAAAAUGAAAUGGGAGAUGGAGAUGCUAAAGGAUUUAAAAAGAGGUUUUAGAUCAAGGUGUUCUAGGCCAGGUACAGGAGAGGUUUAUGGGCUCCUACUUUUGCCAAAAGCUCCCCUUACAACUUUAUUAUCUGUAUGUCCU